This is a long non-coding RNA of Carassius auratus (goldfish), 333 nucleotides long. RefSeq lists it as uncharacterized. The transcript is spliced from 2 exons. The record is from RefSeq and is a predicted model, not a curated record. NCBI's taxonomy places the organism in Eukaryota, Metazoa, Chordata, Actinopteri, Cypriniformes, Cyprinidae.
UUGACCAUCUUGUGCAUUUAUGAAGAAGACCAAAAGCUGCAAAGGCAAACACUUCCAAUGGAUUUCUCACAGAUGACUUAAUCAUUCUUCAUCAGCUCUUCACAAUAUCAGCCCAUUCAAAAGCUUCCAGAUCUUCCUCUCUUGUGUGACACAUCUGCUCUCAGUCCUUCACUGCCAACCUCCAGUCUUAGCAUUUCUGCUUGUAUUCAUUUUUCCUCUACAUUCAUCACUCCAAUCUCUACUAUAAGCACUCCUGUAUAUAUAUAUAUAUAUAUACACAUAAUAAUAAUUAUUAUUAUUAUUAACCAUUUAUUUGUUUUGCAUUUAUUCACA